CCGCGAUAGUCGGGGAGAUAGCGGUGCCCUGUACCUGCAACCCGCUGCAGCAGGGAUGAAUCCCGGCCCCCGGAGGCGGAAUGUGCCGCCUGCCCCCUAUAAGCAGCGAUGAUGGAUCGGUCCCGCGCAACGCCCACCCGUGAAUCGUGUCAGGCGGGGAACCGAGCAGCACUAAGCGGACCCGGACGUGUGCCGCGGGGCUGCCGAUCCUGAGCCGGCUGUAGGGGUAACGGGCAUAUGCCGUCCUUCAAAGGCCGGUUCGCGG
RNAcentral lists this signal recognition particle RNA (265 nucleotides) under Oscillospiraceae bacterium. RNAcentral describes it as "signal recognition particle sRNA large type". It matches the Rfam family "Bacterial large signal recognition particle RNA". From Rfam's summary of the family: The signal recognition particle (SRP) is a universally conserved ribonucleoprotein involved in the co-translational targeting of proteins to membranes. Archaeal SRP consists of a 7S RNA and homologues of the eukaryotic SRP19 and SRP54 proteins. Lineage: Bacteria; Bacillati; Bacillota; Clostridia; Eubacteriales; Oscillospiraceae. The record is from RNAcentral. RNAcentral also lists the same sequence under 1 other name.